UCUGCAUGUGAGAUGGGUUUCCUGAGACGGAGUUUCGCUCUUGUUGCCCAGGCUGGAGUGCCCUAGAUCUGUGACACUGGAAGUGCUGUUUUCCUGGCUCAAUAUCCCUUAUUUGGCUAAGAAAAAAAGGGCAGUUUCCAACUCAUUUGUACUUACAUAGCCACAGACUCUUCUACUUGUAUGGCUUAUUAACAUCAAAAAUUUAUAUUCUAUUAUUAUAUGUGAUAUAUUACACUAUACUACAUUAUAAUUAUCCCCA
Molecule: long non-coding RNA, 259 nt
Filed under: Homo sapiens (human)
Lineage: Eukaryota; Metazoa; Chordata; Mammalia; Primates; Hominidae
Description: non-protein coding lnc-DHX38-3:3
Source: RNAcentral